AGAUAUAUGAAAAAUGCAUGCAUGUGUAGUGGAUAUGGAUUUCGUAACCUUGGUACAGAAUAUGAGCAUGUUAGGAUGAGUUUUGAUUCAUAAAAGCCCAUGUGAGAUAUUUGAGCCAUGUCCCUUUUUCUUGGAGUGAUAAUUGAAAAAUAUAUUCUUAAUUUUUUGGCGAUAUUAAGUUUGAUGGACUAGAGAAUGCUAGAAUUCGCUCUUGUGCUUGUUGAGACGUUUGUCAAUACAUGGCCCUGAUUCUGGAAGGGAUAGAGGCAACCUAGGAAUUAUCACCAUUGCCAAAUAAGCAUGUGUCCCUAUUUGUGCCCGUCAUGGGACUCCCUUAGAUAAACCCCUUUGAGCUUACAUUAAGCCUUUUCUUUCAUCACCCUUAAAUCCUUAACCCUGAACCUUAGUAUAGCUACACUCCUACCCUUUGUUCUAAAAACUUAGUGGAGCUAUAUUUUGGGACUUUACUUGAGGAUUUGGCAUUGAGAACGAAGAUUGAGAAGAGGUGAAAGUUCAAGUGUGGGGGUAGACUUGUCCAUGAAAAAAAAAAUUUGUGAAAGCCGUGAAAAAUGAAAUGAAAAGAAAAAAAUUGUGUACGGCUAGAAAAGAAAAGAAAGAAAAAUGUUUAUGGAUUUUAGUCUCCCAUACUUAGUGAUUUUGGAGUUUACUUUGAACUGAAGGCCCACUACAGAAAAAUUUGGCCUUUGUCCAUUCCACUAUAGUUCUAGGGAAGUUUACAAUGAAGAUUUGGCCUAACAUGAAGACAUUAGGCCCUUUUAUGUUACCUCUAGGGAAAGUGACGUUUUUGCAAUGCCUUGGUGGAUUUCUUGAGGUCUCUACAUCUACAUGUGCUCUGCUAGGUUUUUAGGACACUUUGAUAAAUCCUUACCCUUCAUUUCUUAAAACCUUGAGCCUUGGCCCCAUUA
Molecule: long non-coding RNA, 926 nt
Filed under: Rosa chinensis
Lineage: Eukaryota; Viridiplantae; Streptophyta; Magnoliopsida; Rosales; Rosaceae
Description: sRNA RchiOBHm_Chr1g0374791
Source: RNAcentral